Molecule: ribosomal RNA, 252 nt
Filed under: uncultured bacterium
Lineage: Bacteria
Description: partial 16S ribosomal RNA
Rfam family: Bacterial small subunit ribosomal RNA
Source: RNAcentral
UACAGAGGGUGCAAGCGUUAAUCGGAAUUACUGGGCGUAAAGGGUGCGUAGGUGGUUUGUUAAGUCAGGUGUGAAAUCCCUGGCUCAACCUGGGAACUGCAUUUGAUACUGGCAGACUCGAGUCUGGUAGAGGGUAGUGGAAUUCCGCAUGUAGCGGUGAAAUGCGUAGAGAUGCGGAGGAACAUCAGUGGCGAAGGCGACUACCUGGACCAAAACUGACGCUGAUGCGCGAAAGCGUGGGGAUCAAACAGG